GGCAUAAACGUUUUCUAAUUUCUUCCAAAUUUUAUGUGUUGUAUCUUCUUCUAAAACUUUCCUUACUACAUUGUCAUUAAGGUUUAGUAUUAGUGUUCCAUAGACAUUUAACUACAUUUCUUCCUUUUGUAUUGCUGUGAGGGUUGUUGGAAGUUUUGAAGGAUCUAAAAGGGCUUUAUGAGUCUUUUGUUGUUCGGGCAAGACUUUAACCUUUCCCUUCCAUAAGGCAAAGUCUCCAUUUCCAUCGAACUUCUAAAUUUCUACUCUUGCCACUGCCAUUAUUAAGAUUUGUUAUGCUUUAACUCUUCCAAGAUUCAGUUUCUUGAAAUCAAGAUUGGCUCUGAUACGAAUUAAUCUUGAUACGUUUAUGGGCCUUAUUUUCAAGUCCGCUUUAAGAUACUUGGAGGCAAUGGCGGAUCCAGAAAAUUUAUUGACGGGGGGCUUCGAGUUGUAACUUAGAGGAAAAAUAAAAAUCUGGAAAAAAAACUACAUAAGUAAGACUUGGACUCUGGUUGAAAGGGAGACUAACAAGCAUAGUUAAUAUAAACUGUCUACAAACAUUAAGUAUCAAAUGGUUUUGUUUAUACAUAUUAUAUGAAGACAAUAAAGUUAAGGGGGGCGAGCCUAUACUAAAUCCGCAUGUGCUUGGAGGAGAAGUCGCCACGUCAUUUGUAGCCUAGGAUAGCCGUACAUACGUGUCGAGAGAUAUGAAGAUGAAGGAGAGGAGAAGAUUGCAAUAAAUCUUUACGUGGCUUGGCCAAAUUUGAAGCCUACGUCUACGGGGAAGGAUCUCUUUUUUUGUUAUUGAAAAGGAGUACAAAAGUUCUACUUUCCUAUUCUCUUUAUGUGCUUUUUAGAUUGUUUAUGUGACUGUUAAAAACUAGUUUAUUUUUUGAACACAUCUUUCUAUUUAGUGUUUACAAAAACAUAAUAAUAGAGAAAUUAGGGAAUGUGAGUAA
Molecule: long non-coding RNA, 959 nt
Organism: Cucumis sativus (cucumber)
Lineage: Eukaryota; Viridiplantae; Streptophyta; Magnoliopsida; Cucurbitales; Cucurbitaceae
Exons: 2
Source: RefSeq, a predicted model, not a curated record